ACUACGGGGUGCAGCAGUGGGGGAUAUUGCACAAUGGGGGAAACCCUGAUGCAGCGACGCCGCGUGAGUGAAGAAGUAUUUCGGGAUGUAAAGCUCUAGCAGCAGGGAAGAAAAUGACAGUACCUGACCAAGAAGCCCCGGCUAACUACGGGCGAGACGCCGUGGGAAUACGGAGGGGGCAAGCGUUAUCCGGAUUUACUGGGUGUAAAGGGAGCGUAGCAGGUUAUGUAAGUCUGGAGUGAAAGCCCGGGGCCCAACCCCGGGACUGCUUUGGCAACGGUGUAACUGGAGUACAGGAGGGGCAGGCGGAAUUCCUGGUGUAGCGGUGCACUGCGUAGCUAUCAGGCGGACCCCCGGCGGCGAAGGCGGCCUGCUGGACUGCACCUGACGUUGAGGCUCG
This 400-nucleotide ribosomal RNA is filed under the name uncultured bacterium. Its description in RNAcentral is "partial 16S ribosomal RNA". It matches the Rfam family "Bacterial small subunit ribosomal RNA", at positions 338 to 755 of the family's 1533-position model. The record is from RNAcentral.